RNAcentral lists this long non-coding RNA (286 nucleotides) under Chinchilla lanigera (long-tailed chinchilla). Its description in RNAcentral is "lncRNA (ENSCLAG00000027903.1)". Lineage: Eukaryota; Metazoa; Chordata; Mammalia; Rodentia; Chinchillidae. The record is from RNAcentral.
CAGAACUCCCCGUGGGCACCAACCCUUCUUCCCAGCAGGGCCCCAAUUGCAUGCAGGUUCUUGGCAUAUGGCAGCCUGGGUCUCAUCCUGACUGUGGACAGCUGCUGUGCCUGCCCAGCAUUUACUGCCACCUGAAACUCCAGGAUUAGUACUUCUUUAAAACCUCAUUCAUUGUCUGCUUUCCCCACCAGAAGGUAAGGCCCAAAGCUCAAGCAUUUUUAGCUUUCCUCCCUGCCGUAUUUCCAGUACCUGGAGGUUGAAUUAAUUUCUCUUUCUGCUUCAUUCA